This is a non-coding RNA of Podarcis lilfordi (Lilford's wall lizard), 84 nucleotides long. The record is from the annotation of a GenBank genome assembly. Lineage: Eukaryota; Metazoa; Chordata; Lepidosauria; Squamata; Lacertidae.
GUCCAGGUGGUGCAACAAGUCAGCGCAUCUGGCUGUUAACCAGAAGGUUGGUGGUUUGAGUCCACCUAGGAAAAGCUUUGGGCA